CUUGACAGCUAUAUCACCCUGUAGCCCAAGACUGGUUGCCCACUGAAGCUAAGCAGGGUUGAGGCUGGUGAGAAAACUAGGUUGCUGCCUGCA
RNAcentral lists this ribosomal RNA (93 nucleotides) under Sinocyclocheilus rhinocerous. Lineage: Eukaryota; Metazoa; Chordata; Actinopteri; Cypriniformes; Cyprinidae. The record is from RNAcentral.